UACGAAGGGUGCAAACGUUGCUCGGAAUUAUUGGGCGUAAAGCGCACGUAGGCGGCUUGGCAAGUCGGAUGUGAAAUCCCUCGGCUCAACCAAGGAAGUGCAUCCGAAACUGCUGAGCUUGAGUACGAAAGAGGAUCGCGGAAUUCCCAGUGUAACGGUGAAAUGCGUAGAUAUUGGGAGGAACACCAGUGGCGAAGGCGGCUCUCUGGGACGGUACUGACGCUGAGACGCGAAAGCGUGGGGAGCGAACAGG
RNAcentral lists this ribosomal RNA (253 nucleotides) under uncultured bacterium. RNAcentral describes it as "partial 16S ribosomal RNA". It matches the Rfam family "Bacterial small subunit ribosomal RNA", at positions 524 to 776 of the family's 1533-position model. The record is from RNAcentral.